CGACCGGCGCACGGGUGAGUAACACGUAUGCAACCUGGCCGUCACAGGUGGAUAACCGGAGGAAAUUCCGACUAAUACAGCAUAACACUCCUGAGGGACAUCCUUCGGGAGUCAAAGGAGGCAACUCCGGUGACGGAUGGGCAUGCGGCGCAUUAGGUAGUUGGUAGGGUAACGGCCUACCAAGCCGACGAUGCGUAGGGGUUCUGAGAGGAAGGUCCCCCACAUUGGAACUGAGACACGGUCCAAACUCCUACGGAAGGCAGCAG
This 266-nucleotide ribosomal RNA is filed under the name uncultured bacterium. Its description in RNAcentral is "partial 16S ribosomal RNA". It matches the Rfam family "Bacterial small subunit ribosomal RNA", at positions 92 to 354 of the family's 1533-position model. The record is from RNAcentral.